UACGUAGGGAGCAAGCGUUGUCCGGAAUUAUUGGGCGUAAAGAGCUCGUAGGUGGUUUGUUACGUCUGCUGUGAAAACCUAGGGCUUAACCCUGGGCCUGCAGUGGAUACGGGCAGACUAGAGGUAGGUAGGGGAGAAUGGAAUUCCAGGUGUAGCGGUGAAAUGCGCAGAUAUCGGGAGGAACACCGGUGGCGAAGGCGGUUCUCUGGGCCUUACCUGACACUGAGGAGCGAAAGCGUGGGGAGCGAACAGG
This 253-nucleotide ribosomal RNA is filed under the name uncultured bacterium. Its description in RNAcentral is "partial 16S ribosomal RNA". It matches the Rfam family "Bacterial small subunit ribosomal RNA", at positions 524 to 776 of the family's 1533-position model. The record is from RNAcentral.